UGGCUCAGUAGGUAGAGCAUGGUGUUUGCAACACCAGGGUUGUGGGUUCAAUUCCCAC
Molecule: transfer RNA, 58 nt
Filed under: Salmo salar (Atlantic salmon)
Lineage: Eukaryota; Metazoa; Chordata; Actinopteri; Salmoniformes; Salmonidae
Rfam family: tRNA
About the family: Transfer RNA (tRNA) molecules are approximately 80 nucleotides in length.
Source: Rfam by way of RNAcentral